GCCCCCGUAGUGUAGCGGCCUAGCACGCCGCUCUCUCAAGGCGGUAGCGCCGGUUCGAAUCCGGUCGGGGGUA
RNAcentral lists this transfer RNA (73 nucleotides) under Streptomyces albidoflavus. Its description in RNAcentral is "tRNA-Glu". It matches the Rfam family "tRNA". From Rfam's summary of the family: Transfer RNA (tRNA) molecules are approximately 80 nucleotides in length. Their secondary structure includes four short double-helical elements and three loops (D, anti-codon, and T loops). Further hydrogen bonds mediate the characteristic L-shaped molecular structure. tRNAs have two regions of fundamental functional importance: the anti-codon, which is responsible for specific mRNA codon recognition, and the 3' end, to which the tRNAs corresponding amino acid is attached (by aminoacyl-tRNA synthetases). tRNAs cope with the degeneracy of the genetic code in two manners: having more than one tRNA (with a specific anti-codon) for a particular amino acid; and 'wobble' base-pairing, i.e. permitting non-standard base-pairing at the 3rd anti-codon position. The record is from RNAcentral. Lineage: Bacteria; Bacillati; Actinomycetota; Actinomycetes; Kitasatosporales; Streptomycetaceae.